CUAACUUAUGAGCUCACUUAUGAAUUAACAUUGUUGCUAUUAUAUAUUCGACUUGACCUUUAAUUAAUCACAUCACAAUUUGAUGAGAAAUCGUUACACCACGGUAUGUAGAUAUCUGAUUCAUAUUUGGGAUGUUUUUGGCAGUGUCAGAAAACAACAAGAAGUGCAGAAAAUGAGGCAGAUGCCCUUCAGCUGAUACUCAGAAUCCUGGAGACAGACUAGCCUCCUCCCCCUCCCACCACAAGGUUCACCGAAGCUGCCUACCUAUGUAGGUGGGGACCAUGGAGAUCAGUUGCGGGUGAGAGACCGGUAUUUAGUCAUCAUGGAAACAUCAUUCAGCAGAUCAGUGGUGAAGCUUGGUAUUUUUGAUAGCUAGACACUUGUGUAUAUAUUUGGGAUGGGCCAAUCCACAUUUUCCCAGUUCCGAUCUAAUUCCCAUACACAACUGCCCAUACAGAAUCAGGUACAACAAGAGCUUGUUUUUUUUUAUUUAUAUAUAUAUAUAUAUAUAUAUAUAUAUAUAUAUAUAUAUAUAUAUUGUGUAUGUGUAUAUGUGUCUAUGUAUUUUUUAUAUGUUCCAAGACGGUAUACAGAAGUGGCAAACUUUUUGGCAGCAGCAUCCCUUACACUGUAAUAGCGGCUCCUCAUGUAUUAUAAGCUGUAGCGAGUGCACAAGACAGCUAAAGCUAGCCACUCCUAAAUCAUCAGUUGCUUUUUUUUUGUCUCACAACUGCAUGUGCUUUGUUUAAUGGAAUUAUUGGGAGUAUUGGAUCGCUGUAUCUGUAGUAUAUAUGCACCCCCUUAGCAACAUGAUGUAAUUUAAACUGAUGAUGGUUCAGCCACCAUGUGACGUGUAGCCAUGGUAAAAGAUCCAUAGAUUAAACUUGUAUUUUCAGAUCAGUUUUUGGGCUUCCUCAGUUUGUGCUUCUGUUUUUUGUGUGUGUGUGUGUGUGUGUGUGUGUGUGUGAGAGAGAGAGAGAGAGAGAGAGAAGUGCAGAAUUAGGAGUUCCAGUGACUGCCCCUCAUCCAGGAUCAUGAUCUGGAUGGACUGGUUGCCAUUGGUGCAGAAUGGAGCACUGGACCCUGCUCUUAUGCUGCUGUUCUGAGCUGAAUGUGAAGGAGGACAGGGGAAUAUCCUCACUGAAGCUCUUCCUGCUGACAUGUGGUGGAGCAUGCGAGGUGUUGAUGUUGCCUAGCUCAGAGAGACUGGGGCUAGGUACAGGCAGGUGUGGGCCUCAGGGAUGGCACAGAGAAGUAGCAGCAGCCAGGCCUGCACUACCAGCACCAGUGUAUGCUCUGGGUUGUCCCUGGUGGAGGGAAUGAAAGGGUGCUUAGUCAAAAUUCAGCAUAAUUAAUGUUUCAGUUUUUAAAUUGGAAGAAACUGGUGUUAUGAGAGCUAAAGGACUCCUUCUGUAGGUAACAUGUUGCGAAUAAAUGGUGAAGGCAUUUCACAGCAGAAAUUACCACAGAUCUGCAUACAAAUAGUUACCAAAAAAAAUUAAAUCAGUCAAGACCAAAGGGUCAAACUAUCUGCUCAAAAACAUUUCGCCGUAUUGGGGAAAUAUGGCAGGUAUAUUUUAUCAUGUCUUCUACAAAUUUUUAAAUUGUACUUCAAAUGCAAAUGUGAAUUCUUAAUUCAAAUUAUAUUUCACAAUGCUGCAUCAUCAAUGUCAUGGAGAGCGUGGGUUAAAAAAAAAUGUUGACAUCCUUUGAGGAUCCUGAAGCAAAACUGGUUGAGCACCACUGAUUUACAAAGUUAGUUUAUUAUGCACCUAUUUAUGAUUUGCUCAGUUAAUUAUAUUCUUCUGUUAUGUGACUAAAUGUCUUUCAGUUGAAAUGAAUUAAAUUUUUCUUUCUGUUAUUGCGGUUCAAAUUAUACAUCCUGUGGGGUGUGACCAAUUUCAAGUUGUAGUUUUUGAAUGCAAUGGGGAACAAGUCAUCAAUUGCGAAUUUUUCACAACCCUGGACCACUGUCCUGUAUCAGUCUUAUCUCAAAUAUUUGUUUCACCAAAAACACCAUUUCCACAGCUGAUCAUAUAUAUUUUAAUGAAAGUCGGCUGUAGUCUGUCCAUAGCCAAAGCAGCCUCCAGAUGGCUCUAAUGCAAAGUGCAGGAGUGUCUGUUAUAAGUUUCAGAAAACAAGAGCAGUGGUGCACUGCUUGUGCAAUGUGAGACUUUUUAAAACCGUAGAGGUUGUCUAUUUUAUUUCUGUUACUAUUUAUGUACAUUUUUUAUGUAAGGUAACGAGAAAACAAGAGCAGAAGUAUCUCAUUGUAUAUUUUUAAUACAUAUUACAAUAAACUUUAACUUCAAUUUGAAGUUAAUCAUCUAUAGGUAUGACUGUCCAGCUCUCCUGAUGGUCUGCCGCCGUCUGUCCAUCUCCAAAGGAGCUUGGGCGCUCUCAACAGUGUUCCCUAGAUGAGUACGUGUAGACCAGGGAGGCCAUAUGCGAGUGACAGACAGCAGAUGUCAACUUGAAGUUAAUCAUGUAAUGGGUCGACUGUCCAGUCCUCCUUAUGGUCUGCUGCCGUCUGUCCAUCUCCAAAGGAGCUUGGGCGCUCUUCACAGUGCUCCUUAGAUGGAGGUCACCUGCCGGUGUGAGACAGCUAUUUAGUCAUCAUGUAAAAAUCUGUUAGCAGAUCAGUUGUGACAGUAUUAUUGACUGGGAUAGUUAAGGGGUUACUUGUGCAUAUAUACACUCCCGUUAACAACAUGAUGUAAUUUGGACUGAUGGGGGUGGAGCACAGGUCUGUUGUGAUGUGUAGCCAUGGUAAAAGUAGAAUAGAUCAAACCCAUAUUUUCAGUUCAGUGUUUGGGCUACCAUAGUGUCUGUAUGUGUGUGUGUGUGUGUGUGAGGUGCUGAAUGAGAAGCUACACUCACUGCUCCCUCCUCCGGGAUGGUGAUGGUGAUGGACUGAUUGCUGCCGAAGGGGGUACUGGGCCCUUGUUCAGUGUCUGUGUUCCUGGCUGAAUGGGAGGGUGACAGGAAACAGUGAGGGCUACGUGUGGGCAUCAUGAUACUUGUGCCACUAGAAACUGAAUCUGAAUUUUUGAGUUGAAUCUGAACUUAUUAGUAGAAUCUGAAUUUAUGAGUUGAAUCUGAAUUUAUUAGUUGAAUCUGAAAUCACUUCGCAAUGUCAAUUUCAACUUAUUGAGAUGCACAAUCCGGGUCCUUGAGGAAAACUGAUCGACCACAGGUUCACAAUGCAACUCAUUUCCACGUUUAUGACAGUUCUGCAGGUCGGGGUAAAGUGGAAGUGUGUGGCGGGAUAUGGCAAGAGCAAAUGCAGGAUCAUAUGCGUAAUAAAAAUUAAGCAGUACCGGCACUGCUAUAUUUGAAUCUUUAUCGUACUGUACCACCACUUCUCACAAGUUGCCAGUACUCUGCUACUCAGAGACAAGCGUCAUGCGAGAGUGGUGGAGCACCGUGCGCAGUACCGACAGUGUUGUUCCCAACACCCACUCCGCACCCCCGCCGUAGUACUCAUGGUCAAUACAGUAGCAACACUUUAACUUCUCCACUUCGAGCACUGCUUAUAAAGAUCUCCAUAUUAAACGCCAGUUCAACUGAUGCUCCUGGUUAUUAGCAUUUGCAAACUGAAUUCAGAUUCAACUAAUAAAUUCAGAAUCAACUCAUAAAUUCCAAUUCAAACUAAUUAAUUCAACUAUUACAUUCAGAUUCAGCUAAUAAAUUCAGAUUCAGUUUCUAGUGGCACAAAUAUCAGCCCAUAGCUACGCUCUCUCUCCAACACACAUAUCGUAAGUCAAAGUGGUUAAAAUAAAGUACUCUACCUGAACUGCUCUGACUUGAGCAGGAGCCCUGCAUGUGCCCAAAUGGCCAGGAAGACAGGGAAAUUUCCUCACUGAAGCCAGUGGCGGUGACGUUGGCUGGGGUCUGCGGGCAGGGCUCUGAGGCUAGGCGCAGCCAGGUGUGGGCCUCUGGGAUGGCAUGCAGCAGUAGCAGGACCUGCACCACCAGAACCAACGCCAAGUGGAGGGAAGACCGAGAGCUGUGUUGGCACGUGUGUGGAAGCAGAGCCUGGCACCCCACAGCAGGGCAGAGGCCACCCACGUGGCAAGCAGCCAUGUCACCCUGCAUUUUGAGGGCUGCCUCUGGAACCAGCUGCAUGCCACCCCAGAGAGCGCCGCACUGAGGAGGACCAGCACAUAAAUGAGAGCCAUGGUGAGGUCCUGUGGCCGGGACCGACAGGCUAGCUGGCCCUGAUUCAUGGUGAUCGCAACUACCCAUAGGGUUGCCUCGAUGUUCCGCAUUAAGCAGCACAGCAGCACCAGGGCCAGGAUGAGGGAGGCCAGGGCUGCCCCACCCACUCCCACUGGCACCACCACACCCCAUACAGUGCCCAAGUCACAAAGUGGGGUGAAGGGCCACUUGAAGGAUGUGCACAUUCGAAGAGAAGCUUCAUUCUCUGAAAAGCUGCUGCUCACCAGGUUGAAGGUGAGGAAAAUUGGGAACACUGAUGACACUGCUGAGAGAGAGAGACAGAGAACAGAUUUAUUUUAUGGGUUGAAGAGGCACUAUUGUCUAAUACCCUGCAGCUAAAUGAAAUACACCAUCUUAAAAGUGAGUUCACCAGUGGUUUUUAUUUAAAUGGCCAAAUUUACUUUCUUUUGGUAAAAUAACACGCGUUAAGCAAUCAUUGCCAACUCUCAAACUCUUACACUUUCGAAUAAUCUAGGACGUGUAUAAAAUAAAAAAAACAAAGUUGAAUGAUAAAUGAGACAUUUUUAGAUAUGUUGAAGUAGGAUAAUUGUGAUUCAUUCGCCCUCUAAUCAUUUGCAGAUUAUUUGUUCUGAGACUUGAAGCGCUGCUAAAAUACAUUGCUCCGUAUACGUUUUGGCCAUAGCAAUACGGAUCCGCAAAAUGUUUGGGGUUCUGAAUAUACCUGGACUUCGGUUCUAGCCCAAAUGGGCUGGAGGAAAGGGAAAUGUCCUCACCGAAGCCACUGGGGCUUAUGUUGGCCGGUGUCUGCAUGUCAUUCAUUCUCUGCGGCACAGUGCGUAGGUUUGGGCCUCAGGGAUGGUGUGCAGCAGCAACACCAACGCAUGCUCAUGGUCGUCCCAAGUGGAGGGCAGACCGAGUGCUGCGUUGGCACGCACAUGGAAGCUGAGACAGGCGGCCCACAGCAGGGCAGGGGCCACCCAGUGGCAAGCAGCCAUGCAUUUGCAGUGCUGCUGCUUCCUGAAACAGCUGCACGCCACCCCAGAAAGCGCCGCACUGAGGAGGACCAUAACAUUAAUGAAGACCAUGGUGAAGUCCUGUGGCUGGGACUGACAGGCCAGCUGGCCCUGAUUCAUGGUAAUCACAACUACCCACUGAAUAGCUGCAUAACCUUGUCACCUUAGCUCCGAUGAGGCAGCUAUGUGUUGUCUGUGGAAUCCAGUGCAGCCGCCUGUCCUGGGCCAGCAUUCAUGUAAGGCAUGGCACAAACAAUGCCGCAGAGAUGGCAUAUCUCGAAAUGCAGACAUGCUGGCCCUCCUCAGUGACGAAGCUGAAGCCAAAGAUGCCAGCAAGCAUCAAGUGCAAUGGUGUCACCCCACUACGGUUUUUGGCCUCUGUGAUCCGUGGCAGGCAACACAGAAGCGGCAAUUGAGUUGUGCCCCAUUGCAUUGAAAAACUGGAACUAGAAGGAAGAAGAAUUUUAUUUUAUUGUCACCUAACAGAAAAAUGUCUUUUCAUCGAGCAAAUAAACAGUUGUAUUAUUAAUUUUCUAAAUCAGUGGUUUUAAACUGGUUAGGCUUUUGGAUUCCCCGGGGGUGUCGACAUUUGUUAAUUUAUGCACUCAGCCAUUGUUCAUGCAGCAUUGUGAAAUAUAAUUAAAAUUAUUGAAGGAAUCAUUUGCAUUAUGUAAAAUAUUUAUAAUUAUUACCAUCAUCGAAAAUCGCAUUGUUAAUAUGAAAUGCAAUUUAAAGAUACCUGCCAUAUUUUCCCAACUUGACAAAUGUUUUAUGAACAGACAGGUUGACCAGCCCUGGCCUUAACUAAUUUUUUAACUGAAGUUUCCGCAUGCAUAUCUGUGGUACUUCUAUUUCUAUUCUACCUCCUGCUCUGAGUUAUCCCAGGAGGAGGGCAGACUGUGCUCCACGUUGGCAAACAGAAAGUGAGCCAGGCGGCCUACAGCAGGGCAGAGGUGACAAGCAGGCGGCAAGCAGCCAUGCAGCCCUGCACAGGCCACACCAGGCAGUGCUGCAGUGAGCAGGACCAGCAUGUAGAAUAAGGCCAACAUGGAAUCCUGCAGCUGGGAUCAACCUCGAGGAGAAGCUUCAUCCUCAGAAAAGCUGCUGUCCUCCAGAGAGAACAUGAGGAAGCUCGCGGACAAGGAUGACAAUGCCUUUUCUCACAGGGACCAAGAACUGCUUAAAACAUGAUGCAGAGUUCCCCAGUGUGUUUCAUUUAAACAGGCAAAUCUCUACAUAAAAUAACAAGUUUUAUAUAAUCAUUGACAUCUCAAACAUUAAAAUAUUCUAGAACAUGUAUAAAAGUCACACAGUGAAGUCAAGAGCCUUUUGAGGAAGGAGGCGCAGCCUUGAGAAGCUUCAUUCUCCGAAAAGCUGCUGCCCACCAGGGAGAAGGUGAGGAGGAUUGGGACCACUGAUGACACUGCCAUUGUUGAGAGAGAGACAGAGAACAGAAUCAUUUUAUGGGUGGAAGUAGCAUUGGUCCAUUUAAAACAGUUUACUAUUGUGCAGUGGCCUGUACUACGAAGGGGGUUUAACCAAAUCAGAUUUAACAUGGAGUUAAUUUGCGAACGCUGGGUUGUCUCAGUCGGUGCUAAUCAGUACUACUGCGCCAGAUAAGUUGAUUUGUUAAAUCGGUGUUAACUGCAUUGGAGUUUGGGCGCAUUCACAUGGAGCGUGUUCGGCAGCACAAGUCUAGACGCGUUUGGCUCAUGGCGCUCACAGAUCAAGACCGCAUCCUGAUUAUGCAGGGUUAUGAGGAGUUUAGAUCAAUGCUGCAAAGAAAGUCCAAUACCACUGCAGCCAACAAAAGCAGGCAGGCUUGUUGACAACGUAUUGCCGACCGAGUAAAUGCAGAAGUACAUUUUCAUGGUCAUAAAACUUGGUCUAAAAUAUCUCACGAUCAAGUAUUAGACUGAAAUGUUUUCUGAAAAGAAUUGAAAUACUGUUAAUAAAUACAGAGGCUCACAGAUGCGACACAAUUCAGAAGUCACCUAUUAUUUGCUGUUAAGUUAUGUAAUGCUCCCUAAAGUUCCAUUACUGUGAUAUAUGUUACUCGUAAUGUAAACCUAAUGCUAACAAUAAUUUAACUGAUCCGAUUUCAUAUGCAAUAGUAGUGGAAAGCGUACGUGGCAGCAAGUCAAGAUGAAAUAUAAAAACAUAAGUGAUAGGGCUAUAUGUAUUUAUAUUUCUACUCAUGAAAGAUUUGUUGUGUCUAUCUUCCGUUUAAUAGUGUGUUUCUAUGUUUUACAGCUAAUAAGAAAAAGGUGUCUGUUAAUAUUACACUUAAUAGAAGGUGAGCCAUUGUUUAACAAACAAAUGAUUUACAACAGGACAAAACAGAAGCAUAUGUGUAGUGAGAAAACGACUAGGAACCUGUGACCGCGGUUACGUUAGGCUCAUAUUCCAUAUUCAGUUUUCUGGCUUUAAUAACUUUUAAUGGAAGAAAGGUGGGGCGUUAAUAGCUAAUAUAAUAGGUCCUUUCAGCUGUAAUGACAUGGUGGUUUGGCAUUUUUGGCUUGUGGCAAAUGUUGGUGUUGUGACUGAUGCGGCGCGGACCGGGGAAGCAGGCAAGGAGAACAGGACUGGGGUAAAAUAAAGGGGUUUUAAUCGGGAAAGGAGCACGAAAGAUAUACAGACUUUAAUGACCAGACUGGGGAAAACAUACCUAACGUGGAAUAAAUACAUUGCACUAAUGACAGUAACAGGAAACAGCUGGUGAACUCGGGAAAUUCAUGACACAGGAGGAUCCGACGAGCUGGUCAUGACAGAUGCACACCCCUUUGUUUCCCAGAUUGCUUUACGUACAAAUUUUUAUUCAACUUUGAAUGUGUCUGUAUAAUGUGCAAUGGGACAAUACAUGAAUGGUUUAAUAACUUUAAAACUAGACAAGACAGGCACAUCUAGUGAAGUAUGCUUUGAUAAGUGGACAACAGGGAGCCAGAAUAACUUUCUCUCUAACGGUUAUUAAUUAAUACAUUGCAUGCAUAUUAUAUGCCUUUGCUCCAUUUCAUACAUAUUAACAGAGAGAGUCCCUCACGAUUCAUGCCCCAGUGUCUUCGGCAUUGUCUUCGGAGAAAUUGUAGUUGGAGGGGCGAUGCUCAUAUAGGGCUGGCUUAUGCAGAAACUUUGACUUAAUCAAGAAUAAAAACUACUCGGAGCAGGUUUGAGACUUAGCGUAAAUUCCCAUAACAGCACGCCUGGAGUAAAACCUAGCCACCUUUCACAGUACGGGUUAAUCGCAAAGUUACGACCACACGUCAUCAAAUUACUCGCAAAGUUACCUCGAUAAGCCAGUAACCCUGCUUUGUAGUACAGGCCACUCGUCUGAGCAACAAACUGAGCCUGCGAUGUCUGAUCAACAGAGUGUGAGACUUCCAAGUCUUUGUUAACAGGCCGAAAGCUCUGCUGUGCAAACUGAGCAACUACGCCAGCUAACAUGAGUGUCGAAUGUGUGUGUGAGUAUGCCACUGUAUUUAUAGCUCCUUCAGCCUGCUCUGCAAUGUACUACUCUAUCUCUGUUAGUCUUCUGGGUAUCACUUGGUGUGUGCAUUUAGCCAGGGACAGAUUAGGUGUAAAGCAAAGAAUUGGACAUGAAAUUGUACCUUUUAAAAUUGAUUUAUUCGAUGCCUUUAUCCAAAGCAACGUACAGUAGACAGAUGCAAUCUUCAUGUACUCUGUUUGAUUUGAACGCACAACUUCUGCAUUAUUGGCAGAUUGCUCUGCUUGUUGAGCUGCUGGAGUAUUAAACUUUCAAAGCAACAUGUCUGGGGGCCCGGGACUCUAGCAGCACAGAGAACUAAAACUUGGUCUAGGCACACAAGCAUAAGGCGCCAUAUGUUUUACUGAAGAUACAUGCUUCUGCUGUUUAGGGGCUACGGAAAAACAAUGCAGGACAACAUUCCCGAACAAGAAAACAAUGUGGUUUUUAGGCAAAAUUCAUCACAAUAUGUUGGAGUUGAAUUGGAAGAAACGGUAAUUAUGAGGGCUGAAGGAGUCCUGUGGGCACCAUACAUUGUUGUAAAUAAAAGAUGAACAAAGGCAUACAGCAGUAAAGUGGAGUAAAUUGGUCAACCCUGUCAAAGCCUGCAGUAAGUUCCAAAAGCAGCACAGUCGCACUGUCAGCAUCAGUUGCCAUUGCUAUGUUAUUUAUGACUUCAGUUAAGGCAGUUUCAGUGCUGAGUCCUAGGCAGAAGCCCGACUGGAAUCUAUUCAGUAUGUUGUGUGUCUCCAAGUAUGACUGAAGUUGGGCAGUGACAGGUGCCCAGCUCUUCUCCAGAGCUUUGGACCAAAAUGGUACAAUAGAGACAGGCCUAUAAUUACUCAGCUCCUAUGGAUCCAAAGUUGGUUUCUUCAGUGGUACGCUGGUCUGAUUACUGUAUAUUGGUCGGGCACAUUGCCUGAAGCCUGGGACGCAUUUAUCAUUGCUGUCAUAGGUCUUGCCAGAACUCCCAGGGAUUUUCUUACCUUCAUCUUACCAUGUAUAUUUUUGUCACAUCUCACAAGUGCUCUUUUAUCAUUCCAUUUUUUGUGAUUUCAUUAAUCAAUUUGUUCUUAACUAUGUCACAUCAUUAUUUUCUAUUUCUGCUAUGAUUAGUGCUUUUUAGAAAUACAAAUGUUUUGUAUUUGUGCCUAUUUCCACCUUUGCAGUUUUAAUAAAUGGAACUAUUUAAUCCGUUAA
Molecule: long non-coding RNA, 9876 nt
Organism: Brienomyrus brachyistius
Lineage: Eukaryota; Metazoa; Chordata; Actinopteri; Osteoglossiformes; Mormyridae
Exons: 3
Source: RefSeq, a predicted model, not a curated record